ACUCCUACGGGAGGCAGCAGUGGGGAAUAUUGCACAAUGGGCGCAAGCCUGAUGCAGCCAUGCCGCGUGUGUGAAGAAGGCCUUCGGGUUGUAAAGCACUUUCAGUCGUGAGGAAGGUAGUGUAGUUAAUAGCUGCAUUAUUUGACGUUAGCGACAGAAGAAGCACCGGCUAACUCCGUGCCAGCAGCCGCGGUAAUACGGAGGGUGCGAGCGUUAAUCGGAAUUACUGGGCGUAAAGCGCAUGCAGGUGGUUUGUUAAGUCAGAUGUGAAAGCCCGGGGCUCAACCUCGGAAUAGCAUUUGAAACUGGCAGACUAGAGUACUGUAGAGGGGGUAGAAUUUCAGGUGUAGCGGUGAAAAUGCGUAGAGAUCUGAAGGAAUACCGGUGGCGAAGGCGGCCCCCUGGACAGAUACUGACACUCAGAUGCGAAAGCGUGGGGAGCAAACAGGAUUAGAUACCCUGGUAG
This 466-nucleotide ribosomal RNA is filed under the name uncultured bacterium. RNAcentral describes it as "bacterial SSU rRNA". It matches the Rfam family "Bacterial small subunit ribosomal RNA", at positions 335 to 793 of the family's 1533-position model. The record is from RNAcentral.